Long non-coding RNA from Lathyrus oleraceus (garden pea), 1343 nucleotides. RefSeq lists it as uncharacterized. NCBI's taxonomy places the organism in Eukaryota, Viridiplantae, Streptophyta, Magnoliopsida, Fabales, Fabaceae. The transcript has 2 exons. The record is from RefSeq and is a predicted model, not a curated record.
GCAUAAUUAAAAUGGGUUAAUGAGGAUCAAUGAACAUGAAUAACAUUGGAUCAUGGGUGAAGUGGCAUUGGAGGGGUGUGUGGCGAUGGAAUUGCAUGGGCCUGAGGCCCAAGCCUUCCCCAAAAAACCAAGAACUGGGUUUAAACAAAGGCCAAACAAACCGUUCUUACAAGCCACCGAUUCAAAGCGCGAAAUGGAUCCGACGCGGGGAGCUUCUUCCCUAACCUAGAUCCCCAAUCGCAUACGCCACCAUGAACGGAUCCAAGUUCUGCUGAAAACUUCCCAUCUCUUUCCCCAUGUCAACGAAUGUUCUUGAACCUCACGCGUAUCUCCCUUCAAAAACCAGAUACGGACCAUAACGGCGUGGCCAAGAAGCGGUUACGGCGGAACCGUCAUAGACCUAUCCCCCAAAAGCGAACGAAUAUAAACGACGAGGUGAUGCCAUCUCGAAUCGCCCUCGGAACAUGGAGGAAGAACUGUGUACAAAUGGACGACCGCGACUGGAGAAAGCUUACCGGGCGGCCCCGACGAUGACUUCGGGUUCUAUUUGGAGUUUUGGUUCUGCUGCCAGUUUUGCAGGUUUUUUCGGGAGUUGCUAGUUUUGUGGUGAGAACUUGGUUUUGAAUGAGUUCUCAUGGAAGCAAUUUCGAUGAUGAUAGCGUUGUUUUUUUAGUCAACAUUUUAGUUGCUUGGUUAGCUAAAUCACGCUCAACAGGAUCCAAGGUCCACAACAACACAGGUUUCUCAAAAUCACUUGAAAGUUAUUUGUCUAAAUCUUUAAGAAGAUAUUCUCCAUGUGUUUGAGCAUAAGUCUCACGAAUUGCCUUAAGAUGGGAUGUAUUUCUAUGAGUCAGGAUCGAUAUUAUCAAGCCUUCAUUCGUUCCCCAUCCUUGAAAAGCACCACGUAAUUGUUCACUGUCUUCUAAUGGAUGAGGAACGUGAGAGGAGAUCUUCAAUGUCGCCACUCUGAAUGUGUUGUGUUCAGGAUCGAGGAUGUGCCGUCUCCGGUUGGUAUUAGAAGGCGGUUGAAUAAGUUAGGAAAAAAAUGUUAUUCUAACAGUUGGUUUACCCUACUAUAGGAUGGUUAUGAAGAUUAGAGGUCUUUAUUGGUCCAAUUUUUGUUCAUUUCUAUUUAAGGUUCUUUUGAUAUGCUUUUCCUGAGAAUUCUCCCUUCCCUGCUUUCUGUUUGAAAUUGUUGAAUUGCUAUCUCCGAAGUUGUUCUUUAUUAUGCCAAGGCCGACGUAUUGCGGUUAUGUUACUUAAUUGUCGAUGUUAGCUAAACACUAGAAUUGUGAGAACCACUGCUGCUAAUGGGGCAUUGAUGAAAUGAUUUAUUAUGCUAA